RNAcentral lists this ribosomal RNA (901 nucleotides) under uncultured bacterium. RNAcentral describes it as "bacterial SSU rRNA". It matches the Rfam family "Bacterial small subunit ribosomal RNA", at positions 33 to 918 of the family's 1533-position model. The record is from RNAcentral.
ACGCUGGCGGCGUGCCUAAUACAUGCAAGUAGAACGCUGAAGGAGGAGCUUGCUUCUCUGGAUGAGUUGCGAACGGGUGAGUAACGCGUAGGUAACCUGCCUGGUAGUGGGGGAUAACUAUUGGAAACGAUAGCUAAUACCGCAUAAGAGUAGAUGUUGCAUGACAUUUGCUUAAAAGGUGCAAUUGCAUCACUACCAGAUGGACCUGCGUUGUAUUAGCUAGUUGGUGGGGUAACGGCUCACCAAGGCGACGAUACAUAGCCGACCUGAGAGGGUGAUCGGCCACACUGGGACUGAGACAAGGCCCAGACUCCUACGGGAGGCAGCAGUAGGGAAUCUUCGGCAAUGGGCGGAAGUCUGACCGAGCAACGCCGCGUGAGUGAAGAAGGUUUUCGGAUCGUAAAGCUCUGUUGUAAGAGAAGAACGAGUGUGAGAGUGGAAAGUUCACACUGUGACGGUAUCUUACCAGAAAGGGACGGCUAACUACGUGCCAGCAGCCGCGGUAAUACGUAGGUCCCGAGCGUUGUCCGGAUUUAUUGGGCGUAAAGCGAGCGCAGGCGGUUAGAUAAGUCUGAAGUUAAAGGCUGUGGCUUAACCAUAGUACGCUUUGGAAACUGUUUAACUUGAGUGCAAGAGGGGAGAGUGGAAUUCCAUGUGUAGCGGUGAAAUGCGUAGAUAUAUGGAGGAACACCGGUGGCGAAAGCGGCUCUCUGGCUUGUAACUGACGCUGAGGCUCGAAAGCGUGGGGAGCAAACAGGAUUAGAUACCCUGGUAGUCCACGCCGUAAACGAUGAGUGCUAGGUGUUAGACCCUUUCCGGGGUUUAGUGCCGCAGCUAACGCAUUAAGCACUCCGCCUGGGGAGUACGACCGCAAGGUUGAAACUCAAAGGAAUUGACGGGG